CCAAUAGCGUAUAUUAAAGUUGUUGCAGUUAAAAAGCUCGUAGUUGAACUUCGGGAUCAAUUAGUUGGUCAUGCCUUGGUAUGUACUGAUUUUAUUGGUUCUCACCUUCUAAAGAACUAUAAUGUCAUUUAUUUGAUGUUAUAGGGAAUUAGGACUGUUACCUUGAAAAAAUUAGAGUGUUUAAAGCAGGCUCACGCUUGAAUACAUUAGCAUGGAAUAAUGAAAUAGGACAUCGCAUUCUAUUUUGUUGGUUUCUAGGAUCGAUGUAAUGAUUAAUAGGGAUAGUUGGGGGCAUUAGUAUUCAAUUGUCAGAGGUGAAAUUCUUGGAUUUAUUGAAGACUAACUACUGCGAAAGCAUUUGCCAAGGAUGUUUUCAUUAAUCAAGAACGAAAGGUAGGGGAUCGAAGACGAGCAGAUACCGUCGUAGUCUUAACCAUAAACUAUGCCGACUAGGGAUCGGAUGAUGUUGAUUUUUUAAUGACUCAUUCGGCACCUUACG
RNAcentral lists this unclassified non-coding RNA (499 nucleotides) under uncultured Glomeromycotina. RNAcentral's name for it is "SSU rRNA". It matches the Rfam family "Eukaryotic small subunit ribosomal RNA", at positions 591 to 1092 of the family's 1831-position model. Lineage: Eukaryota; Fungi; Glomeromycota. The record is from RNAcentral.